CACUCCUACGGGAGGCAGCAGUGGGGAAUUUUGGACAAUGGGCGAAAGCCUGAUCCAGCAAUGCCGCGUGAGUGAAGAAGGCCUUCGGGUUGUAAAGCUCUUUUGUCAGGGAAGAAACGGUGAAAGCUAAUAUCUUUUGCUAAUGACGGUACCUGAAGAAUAAGCACCGGCUAACUACGUGCCAGCAGCCGCGGUAAUACGUAGGGUGCAAGCGUUAAUCGGAAUUACUGGGCGUAAAGCGUGCGCAGGCGGUUUUGUAAGUCUGAUGUGAAAUCCCCGGGCUCAACCUGGGAAUUGCAUUGGAGACUGCAAGGCUAGAAUCUGGCAGAGGGGGGUAGAAUUCCACGUGUAGCAGUGAAAUGCGUAGAUAUGUGGAGGAACACCGAUGGCGAAGGCAGCCCCCUGGGUCAAGAUUGACGCUCAUGCACGAAAGCGUGGGGAGCAAACAGGAUUAGAUACCCUAGUAGCCCAUG
Molecule: ribosomal RNA, 473 nt
Filed under: uncultured organism
Description: partial 16S ribosomal RNA
Rfam family: Bacterial small subunit ribosomal RNA
Source: RNAcentral